Molecule: ribosomal RNA, 401 nt
Filed under: Vibrio cholerae
Lineage: Bacteria; Pseudomonadati; Pseudomonadota; Gammaproteobacteria; Vibrionales; Vibrionaceae
Description: bacterial SSU rRNA
Rfam family: Bacterial small subunit ribosomal RNA
Source: RNAcentral
GCCGCGUGUAUGAAGAAGGCCUUCGGGUUGUAAAGUACUUUCAGUAGGGAGGAAGGUGGUUAAGUUAAUACCUUAAUCAUUUGACGUUACCUACAGAAGAAGCACCGGCUAACUCCGUGCCAGCAGCCGCGGUAAUACGGAGGGUGCAAGCGUUAAUCGGAAUUACUGGGCGUAAAGCGCAUGCAGGUGGUUUGUUAAGUCAGAUGUGAAAGCCCUGGGCUCAACCUAGGAAUCGCAUUUGAAACUGACAAGCUAGAGUACUGUAGAGGGGGGUAGAAUUUCAGGUGUAGCGGUGAAAUGCGUAGAGAUCUGAAGGAAUACCGGUGGCGAAGGCGGCCCCCUGGACAGAUACUGACACUCAGAUGCGAAAGCGUGGGGAGCAAACAGGAUUAGAUACCCCC